This 296-nucleotide long non-coding RNA is filed under the name Setaria viridis. RNAcentral describes it as "long non-coding RNA (SVIR_LNC007371)". Lineage: Eukaryota; Viridiplantae; Streptophyta; Magnoliopsida; Poales; Poaceae. The record is from RNAcentral.
AUUCAUCAAAUGUGUUACAUAUAAUUAUGAUAAAGAAUUGUUUCACCUCGGAGUCAAAAGAUGCCAAUAUGGUUGUAUCCAAGCAUGUGAUGUCCUCAUCAGCUGCCACAAAUAUAUUGGGCUUUGUUUAGAUGAAAGUUUAGCUACUGUUAAUUCCUUAUAAACACAUGUGUCAAUUAGACCUCCCGAUUUGCUUGAUUUAGAACCCCAAAUUCAAGUGCAUCAGAUUUAUCUCUUGGGCAAGGUCUGAGCAUUAUUUGCUUGUCUACAUAUUGUUGCUUGUUCUUCGAUUUUCU